UUGAACGCUGGCGGCAGGCCUAACAUAUGCCAGUCGAACGGUAACAGGAAACAGCUUGCUGUUUCGCUGACGAGUGGCGGACGGGUGAGUAAUGUCUGGGAAACUGCCUGAUGGAGGGGGAUAACUACUGGAAACGGUAGCUAAUACCGCAUAACGUCGCAAGACCAAAGAGGGGGACCUUCGGGCCUCUUGCCAUCGGAUGUGCCCAGAUGGGAUUAGCUAGUAGGUGGGGUAACGGCUCACCUAGGCGACGAUCCCUAGCUGGUCUGAGAGGAUGACCAGCCACACUGGAACUGAGACACGGUCCAGACUCCUACGGGAGGCAGCAGUGGGGAAUAUUGCACAAUGGGCGCAAGCCUGAUGCAGCCAUGCCGCGUGUAUGAAGAAGGCCUUCGGGUUGUAAAGUACUUUCAGCGGGGAGGAAGGGAGUAAAGUUAAUACCUUUGCUCAUUGACGUUACCCGCAGAAGAAGCACCGGCUAACUCCGUG
Molecule: ribosomal RNA, 489 nt
Filed under: uncultured bacterium
Lineage: Bacteria
Description: partial 16S ribosomal RNA
Rfam family: Bacterial small subunit ribosomal RNA
Source: RNAcentral